UACGGAGGAUGCGAGCGUUAUCCGGAUUUAUUGGGUUUAAAGGGUGCGUAGGCGGACUGUCAAGUCAGCGGUAAAAUUGAGAGGCUCAACCUCUUCCCGCCGUUGUAACUGGUGGUCUUGAGUGGAUGAGAAGUACGCGGAAUGCGUGGUGUAGCGGUGAAAUGCAUAGAUAUCACGCAGAACUCCGAUUGCGAAGGCAGCGUACCGGCAUCCAACUGACGCUGAGGCACGAAAGCGUGGGGAUCAAACAGG
Molecule: ribosomal RNA, 252 nt
Filed under: uncultured bacterium
Lineage: Bacteria
Description: partial 16S ribosomal RNA
Rfam family: Bacterial small subunit ribosomal RNA
Source: RNAcentral